This 486-nucleotide ribosomal RNA is filed under the name uncultured bacterium. RNAcentral describes it as "partial 16S ribosomal RNA". It matches the Rfam family "Bacterial small subunit ribosomal RNA", at positions 28 to 507 of the family's 1533-position model. The record is from RNAcentral.
GAUGAACGCUGGCGGCGUGCCUAAUACAUGCAAGUCGAACGCUGGAACUCUAGCUUGCUAGAUUGAAGGAGUGGCGAACGGGUGAGUAAUACAUAAGCAACCUACCCACGAAGACUGGGAUAAUCUCUGGAAACGGGGACUAAUACCGGAUAGGUAAUCGGAAGGCAUCUUCUGAUUAUUAAAGGUUAAAAACACUGGUGGAUGGGCUUAUGGCGCAUUAGUUAGUUGGUGAGGUAACGGCCCACCAAGACGAUGAUGCGUAGCCGGCCUGAGAGGGUGAACGGCCACAUUGGGACUGAGACACGGCCCAGACUCCUACGGGAGGCAGCAGUAGGGAAUGUUCGGCAAUGGGGGAAACCCUGACCGAGCAACGCCGCGUGAGUGAUGACGGCCUUCGGGGUGUAAAGCUCUGUUGUAAGGGAAGAACGGUAGAUAGAGAAUAUCUAAAUGACGGUACCUUACCAGAAAGCCACGGCUAACUACGUG